UGGGGAAUUUUGGACAAUGGGCGCAAGCCUGAUCCAGCCAUGCCGCGUGAGUGAAGAAGGCCUUCGGGUUGUAAAGCUCUUUCGGCGGGGACGAAAUGGUUCGUGCCAAUACCACGGACUGAUGACGGUACCUGAAGAAGAAGCACCGGCUAACUACGUGCCAGCAGCCGCGGUAAUACGUAGGGUGCAGGCGUUAAUCGGAAUUACUGGGCGUAAAGCGUGCGCAGGCGGUUUGUUAAGACAGAUGUGAAAUCCCCGGGCUUAACCUGGGAACUGCGUUUGUAACUGGCAGACUGGAGUGUGGCAGAGGGGGGUGAAUUCCAAGUGUAGCAGUGAAAUGCGUAGAGAUCUGGAGGAACACCGAUGGCGAAGGCAGCCCCCUGGGCUAACACUGACGCUCAUGCACGAAAGCGUGGGGAGCAAACAGGAUUAGAUACCCCCGGUAGUCCCUGAGCGGGCUGGCAAG
Molecule: ribosomal RNA, 466 nt
Filed under: uncultured bacterium
Lineage: Bacteria
Description: bacterial SSU rRNA
Rfam family: Bacterial small subunit ribosomal RNA
Source: RNAcentral